This 413-nucleotide RNase P RNA is filed under the name Candidatus Magasanikiibacteriota bacterium. RNAcentral's name for it is "Candidatus Magasanikbacteria bacterium RNase P RNA component class A". It matches the Rfam family "Bacterial RNase P class A". Rfam says of the family: Ribonuclease P (RNase P) is a ubiquitous endoribonuclease, found in archaea, bacteria and eukarya as well as chloroplasts and mitochondria. Its best characterised activity is the generation of mature 5'-ends of tRNAs by cleaving the 5'-leader elements of precursor-tRNAs. Cellular RNase Ps are ribonucleoproteins. The record is from RNAcentral. Lineage: Bacteria; Candidatus Magasanikiibacteriota.
CUUACUCACGGAAGACAGUCGAUCCGGCACAUGCCGGAUAGGAAAGUCCGAACUCCUUAUGCGAAAGCAUGGACAAUAGAUAGUGGGUAACGCCCACCCCCGGCUCGGCGACGAGUUAGGGCGGGAAAGUGCCACAGAGACGAUACUAUCCCGAUCUAAUCGGGAAAAAGGUGAAACGUGUGAGGGUGUGUUGAUAGGCCGGAGCAUAUGCGCCAUAUCAACGCUACUUCACUUCCCGGCUUAGCCGGGAUGGCAAACCCUAUCUGGAGAAAGAGCAGCCCUUCCCGAUUAAAUCGGGAUUGGAAAAGUUAGCUCGUUUGAGCCUAGCAGCAAUGCCAGGCCUAGAGAAAUGACUGUCGCUCCUGAUGAAAAUCAGGAUGUCACAGAAUUCGGCUUACCUGUGGGUAAGAUAA